CUUUAACGCAUCUCUACACCUCCUUGUGGUCACCGCUUCCCGCUGAGAGACCAGACAUUGACUGCGACUCCUCGCUUUCGCACCCCUCGCUUGUCCUAAUCUAUGGACCAUCAGGUGCGGCAUUUGCUACUCACGAUUCACAAUCCCCCAAAGGCGGGGGAAUCACGACGUCGAUUGCGUAAUUCGUGAGGCGGACCCCUCAUGCCAGCGUUCUGACUUUGAGUUUCCUUAACUGCCCCCGGGCGUGUUCGCCACCUCGUACACCAAAUUAAGCUUCGUUGCGCUUCUUGGAAUGGUCCAGAACUGUAGGAGACUGUUGGGAUCUCUAUCCCGAAAGGGAAGCCCCUGUCUCACUGUCCACCACGUACCAACAGCAGUCGAGCACAGCACUCUACAACCCAAUUCAGGGCGUUGCUCGCGUUGGGAACUAGAAUCAACGGUCGUAAGUCAACCCGUGAGAUUCCACUGACGGCCACUGUUUGGCCUCCUUCCACCCCUACUGCAGUUUAGUAGUACGGGGAAUACUGGACCCGAUGUGUGCACGAUGUUACCUGUCUUGUUUCCCGACGCUCUGGCGUUCCAAAUCGGUUAGGGUGUUUAGACAAGAGUCAAGCCUAGCGUCAGACGUUGAGCUGACGCACUUCGACCUUAGCGAUCAUUAGCGCCUAGUCGUACGGCGCCACUUAUGCAAGGGCCCGGAACAUGUGUGGCGGGCAGUGUGGUGCUCUCAAACGUUGUGGGCUUCAGCCACUCCAUU
This 757-nucleotide ribosomal RNA is filed under the name Bacillus sp. (in: firmicutes). RNAcentral describes it as "Bacillus sp. (in: Bacteria) partial 16S ribosomal RNA". The record is from RNAcentral. Lineage: Bacteria; Bacillati; Bacillota; Bacilli; Caryophanales; Bacillaceae.